Molecule: long non-coding RNA, 2748 nt
Filed under: Salmo salar (Atlantic salmon)
Lineage: Eukaryota; Metazoa; Chordata; Actinopteri; Salmoniformes; Salmonidae
Description: lncRNA (ENSSSAG00000098442.1)
Source: RNAcentral
AUCAGUAUGGAAAAAAUAAUCUAUGCUCAGAGGGCCUUACAAAUAAUUUUUGCAGAGAAAGAAGCUAGUGUGGAAGGAGUGUCUUCCACUUUGGAAGAUGAAGAAUUUUCAGAAUAUGAGGAUCAUGUCUCUGUCCAUUCGCAGUCUGACAGUGAGUUGGAAGAAGAGGAUGAGAUUGACCCUCAGCCAGCCCCAGGACCAGCCCGUCAGCAGCCAGCCCCAGGACCAGCCUGUCAGCAGCCUGCCCCAGGACCAGCCCGUCAGCAGCCAGCCCCAGGACCAGCCCGUCAGCAGCCUGCCCCAGGACCAGCCCGUCAGCAGCCUGCCCCAGGACCAGCCCGUCAGCAGCCUGCCCCAGGACCAGCCCGUUAGCAGCCUGCCCCAGGACCAGCCCGUCAGCAACCAGCCCCAGGACCAGCCCGUCAGCAGCCUACCCCAGGACCAGCCCCUCAGCAGCCUGCCCCAGGACCAGCCGUCAGCAGCCUGCAGGAGGAAAAAUAUGGAUGUAAAAGAAUUGUGACAUUGAAUGGUCUUCCUGCCCAAGGAAUGAGCCACCCCGCAUGGCUGCCAAUGUGAUAAGGAUACAACCAGGGCCGACGCGGAUGGUGGUUACUCAUGCGCAAGACGUAAAGUCUUCUUUUGAACUGAAUAAUUUGGAGGGAAGGCAUGUUUUUGGAGAGAAAUAGAAGGAGAUGGACCAAACUCAUUUACAUGCAUACUUUGGGGUUCGUAUACUUGCUGGUGUUUUCAGAUCCAAUGGGGAGUCCACAGAAUCUCUGUGGGAUGCAGAAACUGGCAGAGCACUUUUCCGUGCAAUAAUGUCCCUGGAAAACUUCCACAUUAUUUCCAGGAUUAUCCGCUUUGAUAACCCGAGACACCAGACCAGCUUGGCGGCAGAGAGACAAGCUAGCUGUAAUCAGGUCAGUGUAGGACAUGAGGGUGGACUGCCUUCCCCUGUUUUACAACCCUGGGCUGAAUGUUACUGUUGAUGAUAAGCUUAUGCAAUUUAGGAGCUGCUGCCUCUUCAGGCAGUACAUACCGUCUAAACCCGCAAAAUAUGGUAUCAAGAUCUGGGCUGCCUGUGAUGCUGCUUCAUCAUAUGCGUGGAACUUGCAAGUGUAUAUGGGGAAGCGGGUUGUCCUGGACGUGACACAAGGACUCCGUGGCCACAACAUCACAUGCAAUAACUUUUUUACUUUGAAAAAGCUGGGACAGGAGCUCCUCAAGAGGAAGCUGACAAUAGUAGGAACAGUAUGAAAAAACAAGUCAGAGCUCACACCUCAGCUGUUGAAGACACGGAACAGGCCUAUCAAUUACUCUAAAUUUGUGUUCAUGGCCGACACGUCCCUAGUGUCCUACGUGCCAAAGAAAGGCCAAAAUGUGGUACUCAUGAGUAUGCUGCAUAGGGAUGGGAGAAUCUGUGGCCAAGAACAUAAAAAAACAGAAAUUAUAAUGGAUUACAAUGCCACAAAAGGAGAGGUGGACAAUUUAGACAAGCUGGAGACUGGCUACAGCUGCAAAAGAAGAACCCUGAGGCAAAUCCAGAGGAGGCAACAUAUCCCAAGGACCCCAGCUUCUGCAGCCAUCGUGAGGAGGAUUCAGGAGGAGGACGCUGGUGCCCCAUCCGCCCGAACCACAGAACCAACAACUCCAAAACCGGAAAUUGCAGCCGGUAGCAACAAGAAGAAGCGCUGUGAUGUAUGUGGACCCAAGGACAGGAAGACACAAUACACAUGCAUCAAGUGCAAGAAAUACAUUUGUAACACACACACAGUAAAACUCUGUCCCUCAUGUGGUGUGUAGACCGGCCUUCAUUUGUGUUCAAUCAAUCAAAUUUCAAUCAAAUGUAUUUAUAAAGCCCUUUUUACAUCAGCCGAUGUCACAAAGUGCUAUACAGAAACCCAGCCUAAAACCCCAAACAGCAAGCAAUGCAAAUGUAGAAGUACGGUGGCUAGGAAAAACUCUCUAGAAAAGCAGGAACCUAGGAAUAAACCUAGAGAGGAACCAGGCUCUGAGGGGUGGCCAGUCGUCUUCUGGCUGUCCAGGGUGGAGAUUAUAACAGUACAUGGCCAAGAUGUUUAAACGUUCAUAGAUGACCAGCAUGGUCAAAUAAUAUUAAUCACAGUGGUUGUAGAGGGUGCAACAGGUCAGCACCUCAGGAUUAAAUGUAAUUUGGCUUUUCAUAGCCAAUCAUUCAGAGUUAAGAGGCAGUAGGUGCGGUAGAGAGAGAAAACAGCAGGUCCGGGACAAGGUAGCAUGUCCAGUGAACAGGUCAGGGUUCGGCAGAACAGUUGAAACUGGGGACAGCAAGCAGUCACCAGGCCAGGUAGUCCUGAUGCAUGGUCGUAGGGCUCAGGUCCUCCGAGAGAAGAGAGAAAGAGAGAGAAUUAGAGGGAGCAUACUUUCAAAUUCACACAGGACACCGGAUAAGACCAGAGAAAUACUCCAGAUAUAACAGACUGACUAACCCUAGCCCCUGACACAUAAACUACUGCAGCAUAAAUACUGGAGGCUGAGACAGGAGGGGACGGGAGACACUGUGGUCCCGUCCGACUUACUCCCGGACAGGGCCAACCAGGCAUGAUAUAACCUCACCCACUUUGCCAAAGCACAGCCCCCACACCACUAGAGGGAUAUCUUCAAACCACCAACCUACUACCCUGAGAUGGGGCUCAUUUAUAAUUUCCAUUAAAUACUGUAUGUAAAAAUGUUCCUUCCAAUUUGUUCAGUUCAAAGCAAUAAACAUCA